CAAUGGGGUGUUUUGCCCAUGAAAUUACUGUUCUGAUUAGGAGGAAUAUGUCUGUCAUUAGACUUUCAAAUGCGAUCCUGUUGCAGCACAGCACUGGCAAUCCGGCCCAGAUGACUCUGGCGAUAUUUCUGUUCCUGAAGGAAACAGCAAGUGCAAAUCGGGUAAUUUUAUACGCUGGCUGGGGAAGGGGGCUCACGCUGAUGGAUGCUGUUGGGUUUGCAGCAAUAACAGCUGGGGCCAGGGCACGCAGGGGAUCUGCCAGGACAUGGCUCGGGCUGCGGUUGUGGCUCUGGCUCUGCAGACACACGUAUGUGCAAUGCUCCUCCUUCUAGCAGGGGGCCUGGGCUCAGCUGCCAGGGAUGCCCUGCUGCAGGUGUGAGCCUGAAAUUCCUCUGGAGCCGGCGCAGGCAGUGCCGCGCUCCCCCAAAACCCUGCCAGUGCUUGGCCUCCAAAAUGCAGCGCCUUGUAAUUGGGAGCAGAUGCUGCAGGUUCCUGCAAGAGCAAAGGCACGGCAGAAAUCCCCUUAGAGAGAGAGAAGCAGAGAGGAUCAGAGGCACGGAUCUCAGGGCUGGGGUGUUUGCCUGGCUGUGGCACGGGGUGCAAGCAGAGCACGGGGCACCCAGCUGUGGUAUGGGGUGCACGACACCAUACCCAGUCCUCCUGAGCGUGUUGGGUUGGAGCUCAGAGGCACAACGGGACCCCAAACUGUUUUGGGGUUCCUGCUCCAUAACGGUGAAUCCAUCUGCGAGGGGAAGGUGCUGGGGGCAAGGAGCAUCCACGGCUGCUGGGGGGCUCAGGGUGGCCUCUUGCUGCUGGUUUUCCUUGGGGAAGGGGCGCAGGAUGAGGCCAGGAGCACAGGGAUGCAGCACUGCCAUGGGGGCUCUGCUGGGGCCAGGCACUGCUGCACUGCCCCACAAGAAGGGUCUCAGCCUGAGGUCAUCCUGGAGGGUACUGGGUGCUGUGGGUGGAUAAGGAGGUAGAAGGCACAGCAAAAAAUCAACAUCUCCAAGUCUGGUAGCUCUGCACAAUGUGCCGGGGCACGGGAUGCUGCUUGGCAGCCACAGGGGAGCUGUUUAUUCCUGCCCAUUUCCAACCAGAUGAGAAAAGCACUUUGAGCACAGAGGGAGGACGGGGAGCUGGAGCUGGGAGCAAGGACAACCCCCUCCCCGCCCUGCUCCUGCCCCAGCCGGAGCCUCUCUCACCAAUAAAACGUCUCUUCCUGCAGCCUGGAGAGUUUUUUCCGGAGUUCAGCUGAUAUAAAUUCCCACUGGAGAGUUUGAGGCUGGCAAUCAGCUUACUCAUUCUCCGCUUAUCAUCACAAACCUCUGACCUUCAAACAUCGCUGGUGCGGUGCCCGGCUGAGCAAACUCAAAUCGAACCAGCUGGUGAUUCACCGCGCUCCCGUGUCGCGACACGCGGCCUCUGCUCGCUCCCUGCAGGUUCCCGACCUCGUCCCACGUCUGGUGCUUGUCCCACACCAGUGGUGCUGGGCCCUGGGUGGUGCUGGAGCACGGUCGGGGUUCCCACAUGGUUAUAGGUGAUAGGGCAGGGAUGCAGCACGGGCAAGGAUGCUGAGCUGGUUGGGGUCCCCCAGGUGUCCCCAGCCUGUGCCUGACAUCUCCGGGGACAUCUCUCCCUCUGCAGGAGAACCAGGGUUGGGUUUUGAUGAGACCGAUGCCUUUUCCAGGCAGCAUUUUCUGCUCCCCCUGGCCCGUCGGAUGCUGGCGACUGACUUUUUGCUCACUUUUUCCUAGAAAGAGCCAUCCUCACGGCCUCUUCCAAAGGCAACCCGUGCGUGCCAAAGCCACCUCCGCUGCCCGGAGCCCUUGGUGCUCGGAGCAGGGAUGCUGAGCCCGCAGGGGGAUGAAACAGGGGGGCUGCAAGGCUGGAGGGGGGGCGCAGCCACUCCUGCAGGAGGGCCGUGGGAGGCAACUGGUGUGCCAGCAGGCGCGGAGGAAUGCGGCAGCAGGGCGGGGGGAGGACAGAAAUUAAUAAUUAUCCAAAGCGCACCCCUAUCACUGUUCAUCGAAAUUUGCCCAUACUUCAUUCCAGCCUCCUUUCUUCUUCUUGCCUCCAGGCUGACGGAGCAUCGGUUUCAGAUUCUGCCUCACACUUGGCUGCCUCCAGCACACGGGAAGGACCAGGGGUGAUGCUCUGCUGGCAGUCCCGGCGUGCAGCGCAGCAAGAGGCCGGCAAGAGCAUGCUGGAAGCUGUAGUCCAGGUGCCCCGGCAUCGCCAGCGCCGCACUGAGCUGCUCACAGCCCUCCUGCUCCUCCUCCUCCUCCUCCUUCCUCACAAACACCGCCUCUGCUUGCUAAUCCCUCCCAGGCUUUGCAGCCUUCGAGUGACAAAAUGCAAAUGGUGGGGGAGCAGAGGCAGCAAUUGCACAGCGAGGAGAGAUAAAGCAAAUAUCCGAACACCGAGCCGCCUUCAGCGCAGCUCGCUGGCGCCUGAGCGUUCCUCCAGGAGCGCCUCAGCUCGGAAAAUGUUUGUCGUCUCCCAUCAGGUGAAUCCGUGGGCACGGUGUGGAGUAAAUGUUAAUUAAACUAGCACGGAGCUGCUUAGCAGUGGGCCAUCCCAGGCAAUCCCUUCUGCUGUCGACAGAGCUUGGUGAGAGCGUGCGAGGGAAGACUUUGACCCCGAGCAACUGCUGCAAAGGAAGCAGAAGCAAUUUUGCUGCCAUCAGUGGCAUUUCCCUGGAUUUCUUCUGGCCUUGCCAAAAGCAGAAUGUGUUGUCGAGCCUGCAGGAAACGAAGUUUUCUUUAUUUUGCAGGAGACGCUCUGCUCUAAUUGCUGUCUUCCCGUGCCCGAGCAGCCGGCACCGCUCACCCCCAGCGGGGCCGGGGCUGGCCGAGGGACACCGCUGCUCCUGGGUCCUGCACUGAGGUGCUGGGGUUUUCCUUCUCUGGUGAGCAAAGGAAACCCUGGCAAAGUGAUAAGAGCAUCAGUGAUGAAGUGUUAAACCAUGAGUGAUUCCUCGGGUCCUGUCCCAGCGAAGGAUGCACCUGAAAAGGAUUCAUCCCCCCGGGGGAAGCAGCAGCUCCAAGGAUCUUCCUCUCACCCACCCCUCUGGGUGUAAGGACUUGUUAUAAAUAAUACUCGAGCCUAAAGGAGGUGAAUGAGGACUUUUAUGGAUUUAACACGAAACUCUAACAUCUUUUUCCACUAAAGCUUCUGUCAAUAAAUCAUUUUUUAAUUAUCAGCUUAAAUUAUCAGCUAAGCACGUCUAAAUGAUCUCUGGAGUGAUUUCUGAUGUAAGACGUUCAGAGCACCAUUAAAGAGGUCUCAGAAGAAA
Long non-coding RNA from Anas platyrhynchos (mallard), 3295 nucleotides. RefSeq lists it as uncharacterized. Lineage: Eukaryota; Metazoa; Chordata; Aves; Anseriformes; Anatidae. The record is from RefSeq and is a predicted model, not a curated record.